Molecule: ribosomal RNA, 497 nt
Filed under: uncultured bacterium
Lineage: Bacteria
Description: partial 16S ribosomal RNA
Rfam family: Bacterial small subunit ribosomal RNA
Source: RNAcentral
GAUGAACGCUGGCGGCGUGCCUAAUACAUGCAAGUCGAGCGAACAGACGAGGAGCUUACUCCUCUGACGUUAGCGGCGGACGGGUGAGUAACACGUGGAUAACCUACCUAUAAGACUGGGAUAACUUCGGGAAACCGGAGCUAAUACCGGAUAACAUGUUGAACCGCAUGGUUCAACAGUGAAAGACGGUCUUGCUGUCACUUAUAGAUGGAUCCGCGUCGCAUUAGCUAGUUGGUAAGGUAACGGCUUACCAAGGCAACGAUGCGUAGCCGACCUGACAGGGUGAUCGGCCACACUGGAACUGAGACACGGUCCAGACUCCUACGGGAGGCAGCAGUAGGGAAUCUUCCGCAAUGGGCGAAAGCCUGACGGAGCAACGCCGCGUGAGUGAAGAAGGUCUUCGGAUCGUAAAACUCUGUUAUUAGGGAAGAACAAAUGUGUAAGUAACUAUGCACGUCUUGACGGUACCUAAUCAGAAAGCCACGGCUAACUACGUG